CCUUUCCUAUCCCAGCCUCCCACUCCAGGUCUCCAUUCAAAUUGCCGUUUUGUGCAUUUCACAAUUGUUAAUUUGAGUGAAUCUUGCUCGGCGGGCCUGUCAACAGAUACAGGCGACAGCACUUUGAUUUGCUACAGGAAUGUGAUGGAUAUUUUUUUUUCUCUUAAUGUUUUGUUCCGUAAUUAUUGUUCUCUGUCAGCUCGUUGACAAAUGUGAUUCUGCAACACAUGUUGUAAAUCUAUUUGGAUCUACAGAAAGGAAGACUGUCAUAACAACAUUGCUUAAUGCGCAAGGCAGUGACCUAUGCUGUUUCAAGUGCACCAUUCAUCAGAAAGUUUCCGGAAUAUUGCAUCUAGAUUUGCAUGAGGUUGGAACUGUCAGGUUGAAAAAAUACACUCAGAUCUAUGUGUUAUUUCCAGCAACAAGGAGCGGCUACGACCGUCUACUGUGCCACUGCCCCAGAACUUCAAGGCCUGGGCGGGAUGUACUUCAACAACUGCUGCCGUUGCCUGCCAUCGCUAGAGGCUCAGAACGACCUGACGGCAGCCGCCUUGUGGGAGCUGAGCGAGAAGCUGAUCCAAGAACGGUUUAAAUGCAAUAAAAAGAACAUGCUUGAAUAUUGUCA
This 625-nucleotide long non-coding RNA is filed under the name Pogona vitticeps (central bearded dragon). RNAcentral describes it as "lncRNA (ENSPVIG00000007725.1)". Lineage: Eukaryota; Metazoa; Chordata; Lepidosauria; Squamata; Agamidae. The record is from RNAcentral.